AUUGAACGCUGGCGGCAGGCCUAACACAUGCAAGUCGAGCGAGCGGCGGACGGGUGAGUAAUGUAUGGGGACUGCCCGAUAGAGGGGGAUAACUACUGGAAACGGUGGCUAAUACCGCAUACUAUCGGAUAACCCAUAUGGGAUUAGCUAGUAGGUGGGGUAAAGGCUCACCUAGGCGACGAUCUCUAGCUGGUCUGAGAGGAUGAUCAGCCACACGGGGACUGUGACCCGGCCCAGACUCCUACGGGGGCAGCAGUGGGGAAUAUUGCACAAUUGGCGCAAGCCUGAUGCAGCCAUGCCGCGAGUAAGAAGAAGGCCUUAGGGUUGGAAAGGACUUUCAGCGGGGAGGCGUUUCCCGCAGAAGAAGCACCGGCUAACUCCGUGCCAGCAGGCGCGGUAAUAC
Molecule: ribosomal RNA, 403 nt
Filed under: uncultured bacterium
Lineage: Bacteria
Description: partial 16S ribosomal RNA
Rfam family: Bacterial small subunit ribosomal RNA
Source: RNAcentral